RNAcentral lists this transfer RNA (76 nucleotides) under Neobacillus sp. WH10. RNAcentral's name for it is "tRNA-Val". It matches the Rfam family "tRNA". Rfam says of the family: Transfer RNA (tRNA) molecules are approximately 80 nucleotides in length. The record is from RNAcentral. Lineage: Bacteria; Bacillati; Bacillota; Bacilli; Caryophanales; Bacillaceae.
AUGACUUUCUCCUCAGUUGGGAGAGCGCAACCUUGACAGGGUUGAGGUCGGGGGUUCGAACCCCUCACAGGUCAUA